RNAcentral lists this transfer RNA (76 nucleotides) under Trichonephila inaurata madagascariensis. It matches the Rfam family "tRNA". Rfam says of the family: Transfer RNA (tRNA) molecules are approximately 80 nucleotides in length. Lineage: Eukaryota; Metazoa; Arthropoda; Arachnida; Araneae; Nephilidae. The record is from Rfam by way of RNAcentral.
GCCGAAAUAGCUCAGUUGGGGAGGAAGAGCGUUAGACUGAAGAUCUAAGGUCCCUGGUUCAAUCGGGUUUUCGGCU